Long non-coding RNA from Gastrolobium bilobum, 387 nucleotides. RefSeq lists it as uncharacterized. The transcript has 3 exons. Lineage: Eukaryota; Viridiplantae; Streptophyta; Magnoliopsida; Fabales; Fabaceae. The record is from RefSeq and is a predicted model, not a curated record.
AUAGGAUGGCUUGAUACUUGCUUCACUGGGUUCUACGAUCCAUGCUACUGUCAGAGGGACUUUGCAAGUUAGAAAAAAAAUUAUAGAAGGGGAAGCGUACUUUAUUAGAAAUUUUGGAGUUGGAUUGAAUGGUGAAGGUUUCAAGGCAACUAGGCAUGUUUACAAAAUUUCUUUCAACUUGAGGACAGAUGUGAAGGCCAUUGUUGAUGCUACCAUACCUGUCAAUUGUUUCAAUUUUGUCGAGUUUGAUUUUAUUAUACAGCAAAAAACGGUCUCUCCUUAUUUAUUGGAUUUCAUCGGUUUACUGACUGGAACUAGCGAAGUUGAAGAGCAUGAUGUGUUUGGUAGGAAAGCAAAAAAAAUUGUGCUGGAGCUUGACAACCGCAG